AUGACGAGUGGCGCACGGGUGCGUAACGCGUAUGCAAUCUACCUUUAACUGGUGAAUAGCCCGAAGAAAUUCGGAUUAAUACACCAUAGUAUAGUUGAGUGGCAUCACUUAAUUAUUAAAACUCCGGUGGUUAAAGAUGAGCAUGCGUGACAUUAGUUUGUUGGUGAGGUAAUGGCUCACCAAGACUACGAUGUCUAGGGGAUCUGAGAGGAUUAACCCCCACACUGGUACUGAGACACGGACCAGACUCC
RNAcentral lists this ribosomal RNA (251 nucleotides) under uncultured bacterium. RNAcentral's name for it is "partial 16S ribosomal RNA". It matches the Rfam family "Bacterial small subunit ribosomal RNA", at positions 88 to 339 of the family's 1533-position model. The record is from RNAcentral.